AUGUGGCUGUCUCCUUGUUCGCAGGGAAUUGCCAAUGUCCGAGCCUUGAGCUGAGGCUGAGCCCGGCGACAAUCACCGAGGUCUCUCGUAUCGUCUACCACGGGUUCGCUUUCGUCCGGGUGCCCACCUCGGCCGCCGCGACAUUGCACCUGGCGCUGGGCUCGCAGGUGAUUCCGGGAACACCUCCACGUGUCGCCUUCAUCAAUGGGGCACCUGUCACCUUGUCCUUCCAGAAUGUGGACAGUCAGUAGAGCACAUCCACAACCCCUUCUGCUGGAGAAUGACAUGUCAUCCCUACAUGCCAGUGUGGAGCUCCCCUGUCUCCCCUUCCUCCCCAGGGCCUGAGGGUGCCCCUGCCCCCUGUCUGCUACUGGAGGAGGACCAGGAACCACUGGAGUCUCAUACACAGAUUGAGCCAAAGUGAGGGACUUUGAGUUGCAGCUCUUGGGAGUGUUUCUUGCCCAGGAGAGGCGGAGCCAAGAUCAGCUGAGGGCAGAGCUAAACAACCUGCAGCUGGGGUUAUGCUCAGGUCAAGGACCAGCUUUCCCAUGACUCCUCACCACUCAAACAACAGUGAAUUAAAGUGUUACUGUGUACUGUC
This is a long non-coding RNA of Oncorhynchus kisutch (coho salmon), 601 nucleotides long. RefSeq lists it as uncharacterized. The transcript has 3 exons. NCBI's taxonomy places the organism in Eukaryota, Metazoa, Chordata, Actinopteri, Salmoniformes, Salmonidae. The record is from RefSeq and is a predicted model, not a curated record.